RNAcentral lists this ribosomal RNA (253 nucleotides) under uncultured bacterium. Its description in RNAcentral is "partial 16S ribosomal RNA". It matches the Rfam family "Bacterial small subunit ribosomal RNA", at positions 524 to 776 of the family's 1533-position model. The record is from RNAcentral.
UACGUAGGGUGCAAGCGUUGUCCGGAAUUAUUGGGCGUAAAGAGCUCGUAGGCGGUUUGUCGCGUCGAAUGUGAAAACCCGGGGCUCAACCCCGGGCCUGCAUUCGAUACGGGCAGACUAGAGUUCGGUAGGGGAGUCUGGAAUUCCUGGUGUAGCGGUGAAAUGCGCAGAUAUCAGGAAGAACACCCGUGGCUAAGGCGGUUCUCUAGUACGGUACUGACGCUGAGACGCGAAAGCGUGGGGAGCGAACAGG